This 58-nucleotide small RNA is filed under the name Prunus dulcis (almond). RNAcentral's name for it is "sRNA ncRNA". The record is from RNAcentral. Lineage: Eukaryota; Viridiplantae; Streptophyta; Magnoliopsida; Rosales; Rosaceae.
GCCGAGCUUAGUAAUAUGAGCUUGUGAUCCAACAUGGGGGCAUUAAAGGUGGAAUUUG